Molecule: ribosomal RNA, 400 nt
Filed under: uncultured bacterium
Lineage: Bacteria
Description: bacterial SSU rRNA
Rfam family: Bacterial small subunit ribosomal RNA
Source: RNAcentral
AUUGAACGCUGGCGGCAUGCUUUACACAUGCAAGUCGAGCGGCAGCGCGGGGGGCAACCCUGGCGGCGAGCGGCGAACGGGUGAGUAAUGCAUCGGAACGUAUCCUGUAGUGGGGAAUAACUCACCGAAAGGUGAGCUAAUACCGCAUAAGCUCUGAGGAGGAAAGCGGGGGACCGAAAGGCCUCGCGCUGCAGGAGCGGCCGAUGUCCGAUUAGCUAGUUGGUGAGGUAAAAGGCUCACCAAGGCGACGAUCGGUAGCUGGUCUGAGAGGAUGAUCAGCCACACUGGGACUGAGACACGGCCCAGACUCCUACGGGAGGCAGCAGUGGGGAAUUUUUGGACAAUGGGGGAAACCCUGAUCCAGCCAUGCCGCGUGAGUGAAGAAGGCCUCGGUUGUAAG